UACGUAGGGUGCAAGCGUUGUCCGGAAUUAUUGGGCGUAAAGAGCUCGUAGGCGGUUUGUUGCGUCGGCUGUGAAAUCCCGAGGCUCAACCUCGGGUCUGCAGUCGAUACGAGCAAACUAGAGUGUUGCAGGGGAGACUGGAAUUCCUGGUGUAGCGGUGAAAUGCGCAGAUAUUAGGAGGAACACCAGUGGCGAAGGCGAGUCUCUGGCACGCAUCUGACGCUGAAACACGAAAGCCAGGGGAGCGAACGGG
RNAcentral lists this ribosomal RNA (253 nucleotides) under uncultured bacterium. RNAcentral's name for it is "partial 16S ribosomal RNA". It matches the Rfam family "Bacterial small subunit ribosomal RNA", at positions 524 to 776 of the family's 1533-position model. The record is from RNAcentral.